UUCUAAUAUGGCAGAAUAGUGCAUUGGAUUUAAACCCCAAAAAUAAAGUUUAUCCUUUUUUUAGAA
RNAcentral lists this transfer RNA (66 nucleotides) under Myrmecopora uvida. RNAcentral describes it as "tRNA-Leu". It matches the Rfam family "tRNA". Rfam says of the family: Transfer RNA (tRNA) molecules are approximately 80 nucleotides in length. Their secondary structure includes four short double-helical elements and three loops (D, anti-codon, and T loops). The record is from RNAcentral. Lineage: Eukaryota; Metazoa; Arthropoda; Insecta; Coleoptera; Staphylinidae.